GCAGGUGUGGCUCGAUGGUAGAGCACUUGCCUGGUAUGCAUGAGGCCCUGGGUUCAGUUGCCAGUACGCU
Molecule: transfer RNA, 70 nt
Filed under: Heterocephalus glaber (naked mole-rat)
Lineage: Eukaryota; Metazoa; Chordata; Mammalia; Rodentia; Bathyergidae
Rfam family: tRNA
About the family: Transfer RNA (tRNA) molecules are approximately 80 nucleotides in length. Their secondary structure includes four short double-helical elements and three loops (D, anti-codon, and T loops). Further hydrogen bonds mediate the characteristic L-shaped molecular structure. tRNAs have two regions of fundamental functional importance: the anti-codon, which is responsible for specific mRNA codon recognition, and the 3' end, to which the tRNAs corresponding amino acid is attached (by aminoacyl-tRNA synthetases). tRNAs cope with the degeneracy of the genetic code in two manners: having more than one tRNA (with a specific anti-codon) for a particular amino acid; and 'wobble' base-pairing, i.e. permitting non-standard base-pairing at the 3rd anti-codon position.
Source: Rfam by way of RNAcentral